AGGGCACCACCAGGAGUGGAGCCUGCGGCUUAAUUUGACUCAACACGGGGAAACUUACCCGGCCUGGACACUGGAAGGAUUGACAGAUUGAGAGCUCUUUCUUGAUUCAGUGGGUGGUGGUGCAUGGCCGUUCUUAGUUGGUGGAGCGAUUUGACUGGUUAAUUCCGAUAACGAACGAGACUCUAGCCUAUUAAAUAGGCUCUCGGCUUUUAAACGCCGGGAGGACUUCUUAGAGGGACAGGUGGCGGUUCAGCCGCACGAAAGAGAGCAAUAACAGGUCUGUGAUGCCCUUUGUUGUCCGGGGCCGCACGCGCGCUACACUGAAGAGAUCAGCGUGCUUUACGUUCCUGCUCCGACCGGAGUGGGGAACCCAGUGAACCUUCUUCGUGAUUGGGAUAGAAGAUUGUAAUUAUUCUUCUUGAACGAGGAAUUCCCAGUAAAUGCGAGUCAUAAGCUCGCGUUGAUUACGUCCCUGCCCUUUGUACACACCGCCCGUCGCUACUACCGAUUGAACGAUUU
RNAcentral lists this ribosomal RNA (519 nucleotides) under uncultured eukaryote. RNAcentral describes it as "SSU rRNA". It matches the Rfam family "Eukaryotic small subunit ribosomal RNA", at positions 1161 to 1699 of the family's 1831-position model. The record is from RNAcentral.